Molecule: ribosomal RNA, 448 nt
Filed under: uncultured bacterium
Lineage: Bacteria
Description: partial 16S ribosomal RNA
Rfam family: Bacterial small subunit ribosomal RNA
Source: RNAcentral
GUCCAGACUCCUACGGGAGGCAGCAGUGGGGAAUAUUGGGCAAUGGGCGCAAGCCUGACCCAGCAACGCCGCGUGAAGGAAGAAGGCUUUCGGGUUGUAAACUUCUUUUAAGAGGGAAGAGUAGAAGACGGUACCUCUUGAAUAAGCCACGGCUAACUACGUGCCGGCAGCCGCGGUAAUACGUAGGUGGCGAGCGUUGUCCGGAUUUACCGGGUGUAAAGGGCGCGUAGGCGGAUUUGCAAGUCAGAUGUGAAAUACCGGGGCUUAACUCCGGAACUGCAUUUGAAACUGUAGACCUUGAGUGCCGGAGAGGAAAGCGGAAUUCCUAGUGUAGCGGUGAAAUGCGUAGAUAUUAGGAGGAACACCAGUGGCGAAGGCGGCUUUCUGGACGGUAACUGACGCUGAGGCGCGAAAGUGUGGGUAGCAAACAGGAUUAGAUACCCCAGUA